CGCGGAAGUAAGGGAUGGAAGAGGUGGGAACAUAUAUUGGGCACGUCUGCGUUGAUCGUUGAUGAGAUAAAGGCACUGCGGAGGGACUACAGCAGCAUGCAGCAGCGACAAGUAAACUAUGCACUGGAGACAGACCAAGACAGUCGCAGAGUCUGAUAAAUGGGCGCCUAUCGACAGCACGGCUUCAGAACUGCUCAUUCAACUGAUACGGCGCUGCUCACUAUGACUGACCGCAUACUUGAGGCGAUGGACAACCGGCAGGUGGCGCUGCUGCUGUGCUUGUUAGACAAGUCAAAGGCUUUCGACGUGAUCCCACACAACCGUCUGCUGAACAAACUCUCUCUGUACAAUGUCGAUGUGCGCUGGUUUCAGAGUUAUUUGUCAGACCACUAUCAACAAGUACUCAUUACCGGCACGCUAGCUGGAGUCCGCACGCUGUCGCAGCCGCUGCUGAACCCAAUAGGCACAUUCCAGGGAUCCGCGCUGGGCCCUCUGCUGUACUCGAUAUACGCCGCAGAUAUGCCCCUGUACCUCGAUGUAGACACCGUGCAUGACAAGUGCCUCGUGCAGUACGCCGACGAUGUGCAGCUGGCUGUGUUCGGCAAGCCUCGGGACAGUGCAGUGGUGCGCUGGUUCGCAGUCUGGAGCAGAAUCUUUCGGCCCUUUCACUGUGGUGCGGGAAGAACGGGAUAAAAAUUAACGCAAACAAAACACAGCUGAUAGUUAUUGGAACAUGUCAAAAUCUCCGUAAGAUGCCUCACACUCAAGUACAGUUUAUGGGCACGACGAUUCUCGGCUCCCGUUCAGUCAAAAACCUUGGCGUAGUUUUUGACUAGAAUAUCACAUUCUCGGUGCAUGUAGAUGACGUUGUGCGACGUUGUACCGGCCUACUCAGCGGACUGAGUCACAGCAGGCACGCGCUCCCACGAGACACGCUCUCCACUGUUGUGCAGGCGCUCGUUGUCUCGUUGGUACGGUACUGCAUCAGUGUGUACGGUGUAUGUGGUAGCACACAAAUGGUACGACUGCAGAAACUGCUGAAUUACGGUGCGUGUGUUAUUUCGGGCCGUCGCAAGUUCGAUCAUAUCAGUGACGUGCUGAAAGACCUGGAGUGGCUGACAGUGAAGAAUCUGCAUCAGUACCAUUCGCUGACCCUGUUAAAGCGAAUUUUAGCCAAUGGCCAGCCGGAUACAUUGUACGGUAGUCUGGUGACUCGAGGCGAUGUUCACGGCCGAGUAACCAGACAGGCGGACCAGCUAGACAGGCCCACGAUACACACGGAUCCGGGGAGCAGACGCUUCCUGCACUCAGCUGUCACUGCGUAUAACGCGCUACCGCAGGCGCUCCGUGAGAUGGGGCCCAGACUCUUCCCACGGAACCUCCGUAAACACCUGCUCGAGCGUCAAAACGGCGGUGAAUAGGUGUCGGAUUGUAUGUAGAUGUGUGCAUGAGUGUCUGUUCCCAGUUCCCAUCGAUUAUUUUUGACGCGCGAAUCAUAAUAGCCAUGUGUUCAUGGAUGAUUGCAAGAUGUUAAUACAUACAUACAUGCAUGUGUCUCAAUGCAAUAUGUUACCGCUCUCAAUAUACUCUGGCCAUCUGAUCUACGUGACAUAAUGUAUUGCUUCAAGCGCGUACCGAUGAACUAUGAACGUUUCCCGGGCAAGAUGAGCCUGCUAACUGAAGUGCGGGUUGUUUGGUGUUAUGUGAAUGUGUACGGGUUGAGUUCUACGAGCAUCAACAGCCCUCGUCUCACUGCGUGGUAGGUUUUCUUUCUUUUUUCGACAAGAUCGAUGAUAACUCUUAAGGCUAUGUUCUAAGUCAAUCGGAAUUCACAACACAGAGACGCGCGGUGCUCCAAUCAUUCUAUUGGAUCUAGCAUUCAGCAAGUUAUUAGCCCAGUACGAAAUAAAAUACAAGUUUGUUUUUGGUACAACUAUACACUUUUGUGUAUCGCCGCCAAGCUGGGUAGGAAAUGUAUACGAUGAUGAACACAACGACACAACAAGGUGUUGAGCGAGCAUCGCACAUCUCGGUGUUAUGUUUUCCAAGUGUUAUGGAGAAAACCUAUGCACUAGACGAGCCCUGUGUGUACAUUCGUUUCUCAGUUCGGGUACGAAAUGACCACUGUUUGCAUGGAAUGUGCCUUAUGUUGUGAAGCAAUUGCACCAAUAAAUAAAGAAGAUUCAAUCAAG
RNAcentral lists this long non-coding RNA (2192 nucleotides) under Amphibalanus amphitrite. RNAcentral describes it as "uncharacterized LOC122363280". Lineage: Eukaryota; Metazoa; Arthropoda; Thecostraca; Balanomorpha; Balanidae. The record is from RNAcentral.